UUAUUUAUUAUUACUUAAUCUACUUUCUCAUUUUACAUAUGAGGAAACGGAGUCUUAGAGAGAUGAAAUGAAUUAUCUAUGGUCACAUAGGUAGUGCAAGAAGGUAGAAUUUGAACUCAGGCCAUAUGAUUCAUGGGACCCUAUGCUUUCUGUUGCAUUAAGACCUUAUGUUGGAACAGCUGGGUGGCUCAAUUGAUUGAGAGUCAGGUGUAGAAAUGGGAGAUCCUGGGUUCACAUCUAGCCUCAGACACUUCUUAGCUGUAUGACCCUGGGCAAGUCACUUAACCCCCAUUGCCUAGCACUCAUUGCUCUUCUGCCUUGGAACCAAUACACAGUAUUGAUUCUAAGAUUGAAGGUGAGGGUUUUAAAUAAUAAAAAAAAAAGAUUGUAUGUUCUACUUCUCAUACCUGCUCACUGAUACCUUAAAUUCCUUGGAGAAGGGGCCUAAAUUUUUUUAUUCCAUCAUUAGAGCUAAAAUAUGAAAGCCAAAUAUGAAUAAGAAUAACAUAAUUGAUUUAAUUUUAUGUCUGAUGAUCAAAAGAACUCUCGGUUUUCUGACUGGGGCUUUUCCCAUGGAGCGGGUCAUGUACUCAACAUCCUUACCAAGGAACAUGAAACUUGCUAGGAUGACACAGAAACUCCUAAUUGGUCCCCAGUGACUAGAGGGAUGCCAAGAUGAUUGGCAACUGGAAGUAGGGAAAGGGUGGGUUCUUGCUGGGAGAAGCCCCCCUCCUCUGUGAUCUCCAUGAACUCUGAGAAUGACUCUUCUCUUGUGAGAUUCACUUUCAUCAAAUUUUCUCCCUUGACCUUCCUGAGUUCAGGAUUUUGGCAUCUGUUGACCAGAGGGAGGAGGAUAUCCUUGACAGCACACACAUCUCGGAGGAUCAUCAGAUCAUCCUAUAACUGAAGGCCUAAAGAAAGUCAUGUUCUGACUAGCCAGGAGAUUUGGACUACAUGAGGGGUUCAGAGAGUGUCAGUUUAAAGAGAACAUGAAAUUUGUUUAGUAGUUCUAUUACUAAAGUUGCCUUUAUUUUGACCGUAAAAGGCUACUUGAGUGUUUUCUGUUUCCUUCAUUUGUUAAUUCAUGAAUGUGAUUACAUCUUCUGCAUUUUAUGCAGUUUUCUGGUUGGAAAAAAUAAACAGCUACUCAAUCAAUACUUGAUACCCAUACUUGAUACUGAGAAUCUUUUCUAGAAGAUUAUCCCAUUUUGGGGAGUUCUAGAUAUGUUUUCUACCUGAAUUAUCCAUUAGAGAUUUCUCUGGAGUUACUCCAAGAAUAGAGCAGAUUCUAGAAGAGAGAAAUUGAUCUUCUGUAAUCAGGAACUCUAGAACUGAAGCCAGCUCCAUAUGAGUUCAGAGCCCUUCUUGGGUAGUGGAUUAUACUUAUACCAAUGUGUAACUGGCUGAUGGGUUCUUUUCAUAAUGUAGGGGCAAAGUGUUAAGUAUAGAAAACAUAGAGUUGGAAAGAAGGAUGCUACAAAACAGAGAGAAAGAACAGAAUAGGGGAGAUAAGGAACAGAACUUGCUAUUUUACCUUCCUUUGGUUUUGACCCCAGUUGUGAAGCUAAUGAAAAGAACACGAUUCAGCUAGGGUAGGAAGGAAGUGAAGAGGCUACGAGGCACCAAAACUUGUGCUCAGAUCUAGGAUCUGCAAUAAUCUGGUGACAUCUGAUUUGCUCAGGAACUUCCCUCAUAGUUUCAUCUGAUCUAGUUUUACAUAUUUGAUAGGGUUAGAGGUCUCUGUAGGUGAGUGGAAAGUAUAUUCUGGAUUUGUGUUCAGUGGAACAGAGUUGAAAUUUGGGCUCUGCAACUUAACUCCUAUUUGCAAUCUUGGGCAAGUCACCUAAGUCUCGAAGUCUCAGUUUCCUUGCCUGCAAAAUGAAGGGGUUGGAUUCAUUAAAUAGGGGUAUGGACUCCUCUGAGAGGACAGAUGUGGUUGGCAUGCUGUAAUAUAGGCUCCAGACUGCUAAAAGAUACCUUUAGUAUACAGAGUAUUUGAUAAUGGUGCUCAGGUAGGGGCAGAGUGGGGAGACGAGGUGUACUAUAAAUGUUUAACAAUAGGUUCUUUGAAAAAAAAUGUUCUCAACACAUUUUUGAGUUUAAUCUGCAUUAUUAACAUUUUCUCUGUUGUUCUCUUAAGUCUAGUCAGUCAACAAAACAAUAAAUCAAGUCCUGAUUUGUAGUGUUUGUGGAUUUCUAAGAGGUAAAUGAUCACUCUGAAAAUUUAAAAGGAUCAGCUCUCAAGGAGCCCAGAACCUGUAGCACUUGUAGGGGGAAGUGAAAAGAAAAGCUCUUUAACUCACUCAAAGGUAGCAGAUGAAAAACAAAAAGUGGGAAGUUUGGUUGGUUGAUUGUUCUUCCUACUCCAAGAAAACCAAAAUGAUAUCACUGAUGAUGUCUUUUGACUCCCACAUAAAGUGGAUUCAAGUGAGACAGAGUUGUACAAAAUUAAUGGCCUCAAUCUUCCAGAGUCAUUGAUGCUCAGUGGCAAAACAAAAGUCCAGACAACUGGUGAUGGUCUGGUAUUGAGUGGGUGACCUUGGCUUCUUCCAUGUGUAAUCAAGUUCUAAGUAUUCCACAGACCUACUUCAGCUACCUUCAUGACAGUUGGAACUAAUUGUUCUCAUCUACCCCUUCUGCCUGGGGGAUAGUCUUCACUUGCCUGGGACAGACAUCCCCCUAACUCACUGACAGGUUGGAAGCCCUUUGAUUACCCUCAGCCCAGUUUAGCCUGUCUCCUGAAAUGGUUUACUGGGGUAUGGAUGCUGUGGAUGCUUCAGCUUCUUGGAGCCACUGGCCAAAUCAAGACAUAAUAUGGAAGAUGGUGUCAUAUGCAGUGUUUCCUAACAGGCUACUAUUCUACUUCUGUUUUUCAGAUAUUCAUGCUUGAAGUAUUCUCCACUAUUUCCUGGGCACUAUGUUUUCUUUUUUAAUACCCAAAUAAUAAAGGACACGGAAUCAUCCAUUCA
This is a non-coding RNA of Monodelphis domestica (gray short-tailed opossum), 2969 nucleotides long. Lineage: Eukaryota; Metazoa; Chordata; Mammalia; Didelphimorphia; Didelphidae. The record is from RefSeq and is a predicted model, not a curated record.